UGAUCCUGGCUCAGGAUGAACGCUGGCGGCGUGCCUAAUACAUGCAAGUCGAGCGAACGGACGAGAAGCUUGCUUCUCUGAUGUUAGCGGCGGACGGGUGAGUAACACGUGGAUAACCUACCUAUAAGACUGGGAUAACUUCGGGAAACCGGAGCUAAUACCGGAUAAUAUUUUAAACCACAUGGUUCAAAAGUGAAAGACGGUCUUGCUGUCACUUAUAGAUGGAUCCGCGCUGCACUAGCUAGUUGGUAAGGUAACGGCUUACCAAGGCAACGAUGCAUAGCCGACCUGAGAGGGUGAUCGGCCACACUGGAACUGAGACACGGUCCAGACUCCUACGGGAGGCAGCAGUAGGGAAUCUUCCGCAAUGGGCGAAAGCCUGACGGAGCAACGCCGCGUGAGUGAUGAAGGUCUUCGGAUCGUAAAACUCUGUUAUUAGGGAAGAACAUAUGUGUAAGUAACUGUGCACAUCUUGACGGUGCCUAAUCAGAAAGCCACGGCUAACUACGUGCCAGCAGCCGCGGUAAUACGUAGGUGGCAAGCGUUAUCCGGAAUUAUUGGGCGUAAAGCGCGCGUAGGCGGUUUUUUAAGUCUGAUGUGAAAGCCCACGGCUCAACCGUGGAGGGUCAUUGGAAACUGGAAAACUUGAGUGCAGAAGAGGAAAGUGGAAUUCCAUGUGUAGCGGUGAAAUGCGCAGAGAUAUGGAGGAACACCAGUGGCGAAGGCGGCUUUCUGGUCUGUAACUGACGCUGAUGUGCGAAAGCGUGGGGAUCAAACAGGAUUAGAUACCCUGGUAGUCC
Molecule: ribosomal RNA, 800 nt
Filed under: uncultured bacterium
Lineage: Bacteria
Description: bacterial SSU rRNA
Rfam family: Bacterial small subunit ribosomal RNA
Source: RNAcentral